GCCUCACCCCGCCUAGCCUCACCUAGCCCCAACCCACCUAGCCCCACCCUGCCUAGCCCCGCCUAGCCUCACCUAGCACCACCCCGCCUAGCCCCUCCAGGCUCAGUCUGCUCUGCACCACAGGCCCCAUCUGUACACUAUGCAACUCUUUGGAUACGUCCCAAAUAGCACCCUUUCCCUAUGUAGUGCACUACUUCUGACCAGCACUACAUAGGGAGUAGGGAGCCAUUCGGAAUAGAACCAAUGUUCACAAUACACAAGAAGAACUUUAUUUAUUGAACAUAGUUUUCUAACUUUAACUCGACUACCUUUCUGUUCAUAUGGAACGAGAAACAAAAUCAUGGAUUUGAGGAUAUUUAAAAAAUAUUUAAGGUUUUAUUUUAUCACUGUUGGUUGCUCACAACUACUACAAUAUUUCUCAUAACGUUUAGAACAAUAAUACAAGUGUAUUUAUUCUGAAAGGAGAUGUGAAGAGGGCUUGCUUUGUGACGAUACCUCAGUGUGUUAAAACUCUUCUCAGUUUACAUUGCAUACAAUACUUCAUCUCCUGGCCUCUUGUGUCCCAAAUGGCACCCUAUUCCUUAUAUAGUGCACUACUUUCACCGGAGCCUUAUCAGCCUUGGUCAAAAGUAGUGCACAACAUAGAGAAUAGGGUGCCAUUUGGGACGCACAACCGGUCUCACAUCAUCUCUGAACCCUCCAUGUAGAAUAACAGCCAUGUUCUCUCUUUAAGGCAGACUAAGGGCUGAGAGAGAGGUGGUAAUAUCACACCACAUCUGUGAUAUAAAGGUCUUUGUUGCUGUUUCUUGGAUGAGACCAUAACGUAGGCUAAUACAAUUCCCCCCCCCCUUGUUACGCCGCUUUCUGUGUUACGAGAUUGUGAAUGGUUUCAUUAAAGGCUGACUCAGCGAGAUGUCGUUGCACAAAGUUAACACCACCCUGCCUAGCCCCACCCUGCCUAGCCCCACCCUGCCUAGCCCCACCUAGUUAACACGUAGUGGAUCCAUUUCCUCCACAACUAGGGAGCACGAGGUUUAACUACUCCGCUGUUUUGGUCCUGUAGUUACCACAUUGUAGCAGCGUGAAGCGCGAGGUUAAACUACUCCGCUGUUUUGGUCCUGUAGCUACCACGUUGUAGAAGCGUGAGGUUAAACUACUCCGCUGUUUUGGUCCUGUAGUUACCACGUUGUAGAAGCGUGAGGUUAAACUACUCUGCUGUUUUGGUCCUGUAGCUACCACGUUGUAGAAGCGUGAGGUUAAACUACUCCGCUGUUUUGGUCCUGUAGCUACCACGUUGUAGAAGCGUGAGGUUAAACUACUCCGCUGUUUUGGUCCUGUAGCUACCACGUUGUAGAAGCGUGAGGUUAAACUACUCCGCUGUUUUGGUCCUGUAGCUACCACGUUGUAGAAGCGUGAGGUUAAACUACUCCGCUGUUUUGGUCCUGUAGCUACCACGUUGUAGCAGCGUGAAGCACGAGGUUAAACUACUCUGCUGUUUUGGUCCUGUAGCUACCACGUUGUAGAAGCGUGAGGUUAAACUACUCCGCUGUUUUGGUCCUGUAGCUACCACGUUGUAGCAGCGUGAAGCGCGAGGUUAAACUACUCCGCUGUUUUGGUCCAGUAGCUACCACGUUGUAGCAGCGUGAAGCGCGAGGUUAAACUACUCCGCUGUUUUGGUCCUGUAGCUACCACGUUGUAGAAGCGUGAGGUUAAACUACUCCGCUGUUUUGGUCCUGUAGUUACCACGUUGUAGCAGCGUGAAGCACGAGGUUAAACUACUCUGCUGUUUUGGUCCCGUAGCUACCACGUUGUAGCAGCGUGAAGUUAAACUACUCUGCUGUUUUGGUCCUGUAGCUACCAUGUUGUAGCAGCGUGAAGUUAAACUACUCUGCUGUUUUGGUCCUGUAGCUACCACGUUGUAGCAGCGUGAGGUUAAACUACUCUGCUGUUUUGGUCCUGUAGCUACCACGUUGUAGCAGCGUGAGGUUAAACUACUCUGCUGUUUUGGUCCCGUAGCUACCACGUUGUAGCAGCGUGAAGCGCGAGGUUAAACUACUCUGCUGUUUUGGUCCCGUAGCUACCACGUUGUAGCAGCGUGAAGCGUGAGGUUAAACUACUCUGCUGUUUUGGUCCAGUAGCUACCACGUUGUAGCAGCGUGAAGCGCGAGGUUAAACUACUCCGCUGUUUUGGUCCCGUAGCUACCACGUUGUAGCAGCGUGAAGCGUGAGGUUAAACUACUCUGCUGUUUUGGUCCAGUAGCUACCACGUCGUAGCAGCGUGAAGCGCGAGGUUAAACUACUCCGCUGUUUUGGUCCCGUAGCUACCACGUUGUAGCAGCGCGAGGUUAAACUACUCUGCUGUUUUGGUCCCGUAGCUACCACGUUGUAGCAGCGUGAAGCACGAGGUUAAACUACUCUGCUGUUUUGGUCCCGUAGCUACCACGUUGUAGCAGCGUGAGGAUAAACUACUCCGCUGUUUUGGUCCUGUAGCUACCACGUUGUAGCAGCGUGAGGUUAAACUACUCUGCUGUUUUGGUCCAGUAGCUACCACGUUGUAGCAGCGUGAGGUUAAACUACUCUGCUGUUUUGGUCCAGUAGCUACCACGUUGUAGCAGCGUGAGGUUAAACUACUCCGCUGUUUUGGUCCAGUAGCUACCACGUUGUAGCAGCGUGAAGCGCGAGGUUAAACUACUCUGCUGUUUUGGUCCAGUAGCUACCACGUUGUAGCAGCGUGAGGUUAAACUACUCUGCUGUUUUGGUCCUGUAGCUACCACGUUGUAGCAGCGUGAGGUUAAACUACUCUGCUGUUUUGGUCCAGUAGCUACCACGUUGUAGCAGCGUGAAGCGUGAGGUUAAACUACUCUGCUGUUUUGGUCCUGUAGCUACCACGUUGUAGCAGCGUGAGGUUAAACUACUCUGCUGUUUUGGUCCUGUAGCUACCACGUUGUAGCAGCGUGAGGUUAAACUACUCUGCUGUUUUGGUCCAGUAGCUACCACGUUGUAGCAGCGUGAGGUUAAACUACUCCGCUGUUUUGGUCCUGUAGCUACCACGUUGUAGCAGCGUGAAGCACACCCGUGCACAUGCUUUGUGUGAUUGUAUCUCACUUCAUCUUCGUUGCAACGUCAUCUCGAUGAGUCUACUUUUAAUUCCAUUGUAUCGUCAGCGGACGGUCUCCCAGUUGGGUCAGUACUCUGUCAGUACAUGUCUGUAUGGUGCUGUGUUUUAUGUUGGAAUAAUACUUCCAGGAGACUGGACCUUGACAGCGUACUGCAUCUAAGAACUAUCCCUUUGUGAUAUUACUGAAACUUAACCAACUGCCAUAUCUACUUAAAAGUUAUAUAUUUUACAAUUUCAACAGAGCAAAACAUUGUAUUUUCAGAUGUGUCAAAUAAAUUAACUUUUUUUUUUUA
Long non-coding RNA from Oncorhynchus tshawytscha (Chinook salmon), 3411 nucleotides. RefSeq lists it as uncharacterized. The transcript has 4 exons. Lineage: Eukaryota; Metazoa; Chordata; Actinopteri; Salmoniformes; Salmonidae. The record is from RefSeq and is a predicted model, not a curated record.